AUGUUCUGUGAGGCUUUUGGAGCAGGUCAAAAUGACAUUCUAGUGGAACCAGGGGACACAGUCACCCUUGGCUGUGACAUUACCCUGGAGUACGAGGUCAUGUGGUUUGUUCUUCGUCCUGAUGCCACUCUUUCAGUAGCCAUCACUAUAAAGACAAAUACACCCCUGAGCCUCAACAAAAGGUUUGAUGGUCGUUUCGAGUCAGUGUAUAACACAGGCCUGUUCCGAAGCAAUCUGAGCAUACUGAACAUCUCAGAGAGUGACGUGGGUCUGUACUACUGUGUUGAGCAGAGGGCUAACAUAUUUAAGAUCGGAAGUGGGACCAAGCUCUCCCUUAUCAGUGGUGGUGAGUAA
Oncorhynchus keta (chum salmon) is the source of this 354-nucleotide non-coding RNA. The record is from the annotation of a RefSeq genome assembly. Lineage: Eukaryota; Metazoa; Chordata; Actinopteri; Salmoniformes; Salmonidae.